This 155-nucleotide ribosomal RNA is filed under the name Rhizoctonia solani. Its description in RNAcentral is "5.8S ribosomal RNA". It matches the Rfam family "5.8S ribosomal RNA". From Rfam's summary of the family: 5.8S ribosomal RNA (5.8S rRNA) is a component of the large subunit of the eukaryotic ribosome. It is transcribed by RNA polymerase I as part of the 45S precursor that also contains 18S and 28S rRNA. Functionally, it is thought that 5.8S rRNA may be involved in ribosome translocation. Lineage: Eukaryota; Fungi; Basidiomycota; Agaricomycetes; Cantharellales; Ceratobasidiaceae. The record is from RNAcentral.
AAGUUUCAACAACGGAUCUCUUGGCUCUCGCAUCGAUGAAGAACGCAGCGAAAUGCGAUAAGUAAUGUGAAUUGCAGAAUUCAGUGAAUCAUCGAAUCUUUGAACGCACCUUGCGCUCCUUGGUAUUCCUUGGAGCAGGCCUGUUUGAGUAUCAU